RNAcentral lists this long non-coding RNA (289 nucleotides) under Elaeis guineensis (African oil palm). RNAcentral's name for it is "long non-coding RNA (EGUI_LNC049452)". The record is from RNAcentral. Lineage: Eukaryota; Viridiplantae; Streptophyta; Magnoliopsida; Arecales; Arecaceae.
GGCAUCAGAGACCAUCGAUAUGAAACCCUGAUCAAAGAGUUCAAAUUUCAAAUUCAAAAUUUGAAAUUCAAAAUUUUGACCCUGGUACCCAAAAUGUGUGGAGCUCAUGAUCAGAGAAUUCUAAUUCUCAAUCAUAGAGUUUCAGACAUAUAAGACUCAUAAUCAGCCAUCAGAUCAGAAAGGAACCUCUAAUGUGUGUGACCCCGCAGGUUCGAACCUAAGUCGGUAGCACAGGAACCAAUUCAUGUACUAAUCGAAGUGACCAUCUAGCAAUGGUACCCAAUGACCG